GGAUGAUGGGAGCGGGCGGCGCUGCCCCCACCCCAAAACGGAGCUGACAACGGAGGCUGAGUCGGCACCUGGACUUCAGAAUGGGGACCCUAAAAUCAGCGCCGUGACUGUGAGGCUGGGACCCCAAAACUGGAGGUGGGACCCCAAAACCAGCAGCAGGAUUCUGGAAUUGGAUCCCGAAACUGGAAUUGGGAGCUUGGAAUUGAGACCCCAAAAACAGCAACGGGACCCCCAAACUGGGACCCCAAUAUCAGCACCGGGACCCCAAAACUGAGACCAGGACCUUGUAAGUGGGACCCCAAAAUCAGCAGCAGGACCUGGAAAUUGGACCCCAAUAUCAGCACCGGGACCCCAAAACUGAGACCAGGACCUUGUAAGUGGGACCCCAAAAUCAGCACCAGGACCUGGAAAUUGGACCCCAAUAUCAGCACCGGGACCCCAAAACCGAGACCAAGACCUUAAAGUGGGACCCCAAAAUCUACCCUGGGACCCCAAAAGCAGACCCAUGACGAUGUAAUCAGCAUCAAGGACCCCAAAAUCUGGCACUGGGACCCCAAAUUUCACCACUUGGACCCAAAAAUUAGCAUUGGGGACCCCAAAAUCCGGCACUGAGACCCCAAAUUUCAGCACUCGGACUCCAAACCCAACACCAAGACCCCAAAUUCCAGCACUGGGACCCCAAAUUUCACCACUUGGACCCCAAAAAUCAGCAUUGGAGACCCCCAAAUCCGGCACUGGGACCCCAGAUUUCACCACUUGGACCCAAAAAUCAGCAUUGGGGACCCCAAAAUCCAGCUCUGGGACCCCAAAUUUCAGCACUUGGACUCCAAACCCAACACCAAGACCCCAAAUUCCGUCACUGGGACCCCAAAUUUCACCACUUGGACCCAAAAAUCAACAUUGGGGACCCCAAAAUCCGGCACUGAGACCCCAAAACCAGGACCCAGGACCCAUGGCUGAGGGGUGUCCCCUCCCUGGGGAGGUGACAGAGGGGGACAGCGGUGUCCCCAAAGGGGACGUCGAUGUCCCCGAGGUCACCGUCACUCCUUGGGCCAGCGGCAUCACCAUCACUGUGACGGUGGCACCGGCGGAUGAGGACAUCGAGGACAUUUGGGACAUUGGGGACACCGAGGACGUUGGGGACAUUGGGGACACCGCUGAGGACAUUGGGGGUGCGGAUGUGGGGCGCGGGGACGUCCCCGUUCCACGUGACAGAGAUGUCCCAACCCUGAAGGGUUUUGGGGACGGGGAUGGCAUUGAUGUCACAGCCCUAAAGGACACUGAGGUGACAGAGGUGGUGACACCAAGGGGUGUUGGGGACAGGGAUGUCCCAACCCCGGGGGAUAUGGGGGGCAGGGAUGUCUCCAUCUAUGGGGACAAGGAUGUCCCGGUCCACGAGGAUGAGGGUGACGGGGACAGGGAUGUCAUAGGUGUAUGGGAUGAUGGGGACAAGGGCUUUGGGGACGGGAAUGCCACCACCCCAAGGGACGAAGUUUGGGAUGUCCCCGUUCCCAGUAUGGAGAAGGGCAGUGGGAAUGGGGGUGUCUUGGCUGCUGGAGACGAGGACAUUGGGGACAUCCCAACCGUAAGGGACAUUGGGGACAUCCCAACCGUAAGGGACAUUGGGGACAUCCCAACCGUAAGGGACAUUGGGGACAAGGAUGUCACAACCCCUAAGGACGAGGACACCAAGGAAAAGCCUGUCCCAACCAUGGGGGAUGAGGACUUUGGGGGCGAGGGUGGUGGGGACAGGGAUGUCCCGUCCCCAGUGGGCUUUGGGGACAAGGACACUGGGGACAAGGAUGUCCCAUCCCCUAAUGGCAUUGGGGACAAGGAUAUUGGGGACAAGGACAUUGGAGAGAAGGGUGUCCCAUCCCCCAUGGGCUUUGGGGACAAGGACUUUGGGGACAAGGAUGUCCCAUCCCCCAUGGACUUUGGGGACAAGGACGUCCCAUAUCUCAUGGGCAUUGGGGACAAGGACAUUGGGGACAAGGACUUUGGGGACAAGGAAGUCCCAUCCCCUAUUGGCUUUGGGGACAAGGAUGCUGGGGACAAGGAUGUCCCAUCUGUCACAGGCUUUGGGGACAAGGACUUUGGGGACAAGGGUGUUCCAUCCCCUCUGGGCUUUGGGGACAAGGUCUUUGGGGACAAGGAUGUUGGGGACAAGGAUGUCCCAUCCCCUAAUGGCAUUGGGGGCAAGGAUGUUGGGGAGAAGGAAGUCCCAUCCCCUAUCGGCUUUGGGGACAAGGACGUCCCAUCCCCCAUGGGCUUUGGGGACAACGACAUUGGGGACAAGGAAGUCCCAUCUGUCACGGGCUUUGGGGACAAGGAUGUUGGGGACAAGGAUGUCCCACCCCCUAAGGCCUUUGGGGACAAGGACAUUGGGGACAAGGACUUUGGGGACAAGGACGUGCCAUCCCCCAUGGGCUUUGGGGACAAGGAAGUCCCAUCUGUCACGGGCUUUGGGGACAAGGACUUUGGGGACAAGGAUGUCCCAUCCCCCAUGGGCUUUGGGGACAAGGACGUCCCACCCCCUAAGGCCAUUGGGGACAAGGACAUUGGGGACAAGGACUUUGGGGGCAAGGAUGUCCCAUCCCCUAUGGGCUUUGCGGACGAGGACAAUGGGGACAAGGAUGUCCCAUCCCCUCUGGGCUUUGGGGACAAGGACUUUGGGGAGAAGGAUGUCCCAUCCCCUAUCGGCUUUGGGGACAAGGAUGUUGGGGACAAGGACAUCCCACCCCCUAAGGCCUUUGGGGACAAGGACUUUAGGGACAUGAAUGUCCCAUCCCCUAUCGGCUUUGGGGACAAGGACGCUGGGGACAAGGAUGUCCCACCCCCUAAGGCCUUUGGGGACAAGGACUUUGGGGACAAGGAUGUUGGGGACAAGGAUGUCCCAUCCCCCAUGGGCUUUGGGGACAAGGACGUCCCAUCCCCUCUGGGCUUUGGGGACAAGGACUUUGGGGACAAGGAUGUCCCAUCCCCCAUGGGCUUUGGGGACAAGGACGUCCCAUCCCCUAAGGCCUUUGGGGACAAGGACGUUGGGGACAAGGACAUCCCACCCCCUAAGGCCUUUGGGGACAAGGACUUUAGGGACAUGAAUGUCCCAUCCCCUAUCGGCUUUGGGGACAAGGAUGCUGGGGACAAGGAUGUCCCACCCCCUAAGGCCUUUGGGGACAAGGACAAUGGGGACAUCCCAACCCCAGGAGAUGUUUGGGAUGAGGAGGUUGGGGACAUCCAGGUCCCAACCCUAAGGGACUUUGGGGACAGAGAGUUUGGGGACAGAGAGUUUGGGGACAAAGAGUUUGGGGACAAAGAGAUUGGGGACAAAGAGAUUGGGGACAGGGAUUUUGGGGACAAAGAGUUUGGGGACAAAGAGAUUGGGGACAAAGAGUUUGGGGACAAAGAGUUUGGGGCCGAGGCCAUCUCAGCCCCGCAGGACUUGGGGGGCAGGGAUGUCCCCCCCCGAGGGGACAUUGGGGUCGUGCCCCACGGGGACGGGGACAUCCCGGCCUUUGGGGUCAGCGAGGAUGGCCGUGGGGACACGGUUGGGGACAUGGGGGGCGUGGAUGUCACCGCCCGGGGGGGUGAUGGGGACAGAGAGGGGACGUCGGGAAGGGUUGGGGGCGUUGAGGGCGCGCGCGGUGCCGGUGACGUCAUCACCAUCACGGUGACGGCCCCGCCGCUGGAGGACGGCCCCGGCGACGAUGACGUCAUCGCUGACGCCAUUGCCGCCCAACCGCGCGGUGUCGCGGGGGGGCGGCGACGUCACAGCUGCGCUUCCCGGUGACGUCAGCCCUGAGGGCGACGUCACCUCGGCGGUGGCGGGGGGUGACGUCGUGGCCGAGCUCGUCGACGGCGAUGACGUCACUUCCUUUCUCCCCGGAGGAGAGCCCGGUGGUGACGUCAUGGCUGCGGGUGAUGUCACUCCCCACCUCCCUGAGGGUGAGCGCAUGGGUGGUGCCGUGCCCGGGAGUGACAUCGAUGAUGACAUCAUCAGUGGAGAUGACGUCAUCUGCUCCCUCCCCAGAGGUGACCAGGCUGAUGGUGUUGUCCCUGGUGGUGAUGUCACUGAUGACGUCACCACGGAUGAAACGGUCGCUUCUUUCCAUGGGGACGACCACGCCCAUGAUGUCAUCCCUGGAGGUGACAUCACUGAUGAUGUCAUCACGGAUGAAACGGUCGCUUCUUUCCAUGGGGACACCCGCACCAAUGAUGUCAGCCACGGGCGUGACAUCAUUGAUGACGUCACGAUGGGUGAAACCAUCUCUUCUUUCCACGAGGGCGUCCACGCUGAUGACGUCACUCACAGAUACGACAUCACUGAUGACAUCACCCAUGGAUAUGACAUCACAGAUGAUGUAAUCAAUUGGGGUGACGUCACUGAUGACGUCAUUAUGAGCGAGGCCAUCACCUCUGCAGGCAGGGAUGUCCAUAUUGGUGACGUCAUCCACGGGGCUGACCUCACUGAUGACAUCACCUACUUGGCUGACCUCACUGAUGACGUCAUCACGGAUGAAACCAUCACUCCUUACCAUGGGGAGAUGGGCGGUGAUGACCUCAUCCACGGAGGUGACCUCAUCGAUGACGUCACCCUUGGAGGCGACCCUGGUGAUGAUGUCACACCCGGUGCUGACAUCACAGCCGCAAGUCCGGGCCGUGAUGUCACACCUGAGCACGAUGACAUCACCCCAAAGGAUGACGUCAUCAGUGACACCAUCAGCCCCGCAGAGGAGCAACCGCUGUGCCCGCGCCGUGACAUCACCGAUGACGUCAUCGCCCACGUGGGGCCCAGGAGGGGCGGAGCUACAGCCGCCCCCCAGCCCCAGACGAACCCCCCCGGCUGCCCCCUCGUCUUCCUCGGCCUCCUCUGCCUCCUCCUCAUCCUCCUCCUCCUCGCCGGCGUCUUUGCGGCGGUGCAUUACGUCAAAGUGUUCCUCAUCAGCUCCGUUCCGAUGGACCCCCCCCCCCCACCCCCAUGAGCCUCUAUGGGUUGGGGGGGGGGCACUGAUGUCACCUUGGGGGGGGGGGGGGGGGACACAGCUGACCCCCCCCCCCUCCCCCAUGAGCCUCUAUGGGGAGGGGGGGACACAGCGAUGUCACCUUAAGGGGGGGGACACACAUCUGACCCCCCCCCAAUGAGCCUCUAUGGGUGGGGGGGGGGCAUCGAUGUCACCUUGGGGGGGGGGACGGACACCUGACCCCCCCCCAAUGAGCCUCUAUGGGUGGGGGGGAACACAACUGAACCCUCCCCCCCCCCCCCACAAUGAGCCUCUAUGGGUGGAGGGGGGGCACCGAUGUCACCUUGGGGGGGGGCACACCUGACCCCCCCCCCACGAGCCUCUAUGGGUGGGGGGGGACAUCGAUGUCACCUUGGGAGGGGGGGACACACACCUAACCCCCCCCCCAAUGAGCCUCUAUGGGUGGGGGGAACACAUAUCACCCUCCCCCCCCACCCCAAUGAGCCUCUAUGGGUGGGGGGGUGACACCAAUGUCACCUUGGGGGGGGGGGACACACCUAAGCCCCCCCCCAUGAGCCUCUAUGGGUGGGGGGGGACAUCGAUGUCACCUAGCGGGGGGGGGGAAACACACCUGACCCCCCUCCAUGAGCCUCUAUGGGUGGGGGGGGCACCGAUGUGACCUUGAGGGGGGGGGACACACACCUGACCCCCUCCCCCCCCCCCAGUGAGCCUCUAUGGGUGGGGGGGGGGACAUCGGUGUCACCUUGGGGGGGGGGGGGGGGGGACACCUGACCCCCCCCCAUGAGCCUCUAUGGGUGGGGGGAACACAUAUCACCCCCCCCCCCCCACCCCAAUGAGCCUCUAUGGGUUGGGGGGGGGACAUCGGUGUCACCUUGAGGGGGGGGACACACCUAAGCCCCCCCCCCAAUGAACCUCUAUAGGUGGGGGGGGGACAUCGAUGUCACCUUGGGGGGGGGGGGGAAACACACCUGACCCCCCCAAUGAGCCUCUAUGGAUUGGGGGGGGGGACACACCUGACCCCCCCCCUCCAUGAGCCUCUAUGGGGGGGGACGACACAGCUGACCCCCCCACCACCACCCCAAUGAGCCUCUAUGGGUGGAGGGGGGGACAUCGAUGUCACCUUGGGGGGGGGGGACACACCUGACCGCCCCCCCCCCCCCCCCCAAUAAAUCAGUAAGGC
Gallus gallus (chicken) is the source of this 6159-nucleotide long non-coding RNA. NCBI's taxonomy places the organism in Eukaryota, Metazoa, Chordata, Aves, Galliformes, Phasianidae. The record is from Ensembl.